Molecule: ribosomal RNA, 253 nt
Filed under: uncultured bacterium
Lineage: Bacteria
Description: partial 16S ribosomal RNA
Rfam family: Bacterial small subunit ribosomal RNA
Source: RNAcentral
UACGAAGGGGGCUAGCGUUGUUCGGAAUUACUGGGCGUAAAGCGUGCGCAGGCGGCUUCUCAAGUCAGGGGUGAAAGCCCAGAGCUCAACUCUGGAAUUGCCUUUGAGACUGAGUGGCUUGAGUACGAGAGAGGUGAGUGGAAUUCCCAGUGUAGAGGUGAAAUUCGUAGAUACUGGGAAGAACACCGGUGGCGAAGGCGGCUCACUGGCUCGUAACUGACGCUCAUGCACGACAGCGUGGGGAUCAAACAGG